UAUACGGCGAAACUGCGAAUGGCUCAUUAUAUAAGUUAUCGUUUAUUUGAUAGCACCUUACUACUUGGAUAACCGUGGUAAUUCUAGAGCUAAUACAUGCUGAAAAUCCCGACUUCGGAAGGGAUGUAUUUAUUAGAUUCAAAACCAAUGCCCUCCGGGCUCACUGGUGAUUCAUGAUAACUCUUCGAAUCGCACGGCCUUGCGCCGGCGAUGGUUCAUUCAAAUUUCUUCCCUAUCAACUUUCGAUGUUUGGGUAGUGGCCAAACAUGGUUGCAACGGGUAACGGAGGGUUAGGGCUCGACCCCGGAGAAGGAGCCUGAGAAACGGCUACUACAUCCAAGGAAGGCAGCAGGCGCGCAAAUUACCCAAUCCCGACACGGGGAGGUAGUGACAAUAAAUACUGAUACAGGGCUCUUUUGGGUCUUGUAAUUGGAAUGAGUACAAUUUAAAUCCCUUAACGAGGAACAAUUGGAGGGCAAGUCUGGUGCCAGCAGCCGCGGUAAUUCCAGCUCCAAUAGCGUAUAUUAAAGUUGUUGUGGUUAAAAAGCUCGUAGUUGAACCUUGGGCCUGGCUGGCCGGUCCGCCUCACCGCGUGUACUGGCCCGGCCGGGCCUUUCCCUCUGUGGAACCCCAUGCCCUUCACUGGGUGUGGCGGGGAAACAGGACUUUUACUUUGAAAAAAUUAGAGUGCUCCAGGCAGGCCUAUGCUCGAAUACAUUAGCAUGGAAUAAUGAAAUAGGACGCGCGGUUCUAUUUUGUUGGUUUCUAGGACCGCCGUAAUGAUUAAUAGGGACAGUCGGGGGCAUCAGUAUUCAAUUGUCAGAGGUGAAAUUCUUGGAUUUAUUGAAGACUAACUACUGCGAAAGCAUUUGCCAAGGAUGUUUUCAUUAAUCAGGAACGAAAGUUAGGGGAUCGAAGACGAUCAGAUACCGUCGUAGUCUUAACCAUAAACUAUGCCGACUAGGGAUCGGACGAUGUUAUUUUUUGACUC
This 991-nucleotide ribosomal RNA is filed under the name Hirsutella cryptosclerotium. RNAcentral's name for it is "SSU rRNA". It matches the Rfam family "Eukaryotic small subunit ribosomal RNA", at positions 75 to 1077 of the family's 1831-position model. Lineage: Eukaryota; Fungi; Ascomycota; Sordariomycetes; Hypocreales; Ophiocordycipitaceae. The record is from RNAcentral.